CUCCAGACUCCUACGGGAGGCAGCAGUGGGGAAUAUUGCACAAUGGGGGAAACCCUGAUGCAGCGACGCCGCGUGAGUGAAGAAGUAUUUCGGUAUGUAAAGCUCUAUCAGCAGGGAAGAAAAUGACGGUACCUGACUAAGAAGCCCCGGCUAACUACGUGCCAGCAGCCGCGGUAAUACGUAGGGGGCAAGCGUUAUCCGGAAUUACUGGGUGUAAAGGGAGCGCAGACGGCAGUGCACGUCUGGAGUGAAAGCCCGUGGCUUAACCACGGGACUGCUCUGGAAACUGUGCAGCUAGAGUGCAGGAGAGGCAGGCGGAAUUCCUAGUGUAGCGGUGAAAUGCGUAGAUAUUAGGAGGAACACCAGUGGCGAAGGCGGCCUGCUGGGCUUUAACUGACGCUGAGGCUCGAAAGCGUGGGGAGCAAACAGGAUUAGAUACCCCAGUAA
RNAcentral lists this ribosomal RNA (447 nucleotides) under uncultured bacterium. RNAcentral describes it as "bacterial SSU rRNA". It matches the Rfam family "Bacterial small subunit ribosomal RNA", at positions 329 to 793 of the family's 1533-position model. The record is from RNAcentral.